Molecule: ribosomal RNA, 431 nt
Filed under: uncultured bacterium
Lineage: Bacteria
Description: partial 16S ribosomal RNA
Rfam family: Bacterial small subunit ribosomal RNA
Source: RNAcentral
AACGAACGCUGGCGGCAUGCCUAACACAUGCAAGUCGAACGAGACCUUCGGGUCUAGUGGCGCACGGGUGCGUAACGCGUGGGAACCUGCCCUUAGGUUCGGAAUAACUCCCCGAAAGGGGUGCUAAUACCGGAUAAUGUCUUCGGACCAAAGAUUUAUCGCCUUUGGAUGGGCCCGCGUUGGAUUAGCUAGUUGGUAGGGUAAAAGCCUACCAAGGCGACGAUCCAUAGCUGGUCUGAGAGGAUGAUCAGCCACUGGGACUGAGACACGGCCCAGACUCCUACGGGAGGCAGCAGUGGGGAAUAUUGGACAAUGGGCGAAAGCCUGAUCCAGCAAUGCCGCGUGAGUGAUGAAGGCCUUAGGGUUGUAAAGCUCUUUUACCCGGGAUGAUAAUGACAGUACCGGGAGAAUAAGCUCCGGCUAACUCCGUG